This 481-nucleotide ribosomal RNA is filed under the name uncultured bacterium. RNAcentral describes it as "bacterial SSU rRNA". It matches the Rfam family "Bacterial small subunit ribosomal RNA", at positions 30 to 507 of the family's 1533-position model. The record is from RNAcentral.
AUUGAACGCUGGCGGCAGGCCUAACACAUGCAAGUCGAGCGAGAAAGGUCUUCGGACUGAGUAGAGCGGCGGACGGGUGAGUAACGCGUAGGAAUUUGCCCAGUAGUGGGGGACAACUCGGGGAAACUCGAGCUAAUACCGCAUACGCCCUAUGGGGGAAAGCAGGGGAUCUUCGGACCUUGCGCUAUUGGAUAAGCCUGCGUUGGAUUAGCUAGUUGGUGGGGUAAGGGCCCACCAAGGCGACAAUCCGUAGCUGGUCUGAGAGGAUGAUCAGCCACACUGGGACUGAGACACGGCCCAAACUCCUACGGGAGGCAGCAGUGGGGAAUAUUGGACAAUGGGGGCAACCCUGAUCCAGCCAUGCCGCGUGUGUGAAGAAGGCCUUAGGGUUGUAAAGCACUUUCAGUAGGGAGGAAAAGCUAAUGGUUAAUACUCAUUAGCCCUGACGUUACCUACAGAAAAAGCACCGGCAAACUCCGUG